This 384-nucleotide ribosomal RNA is filed under the name uncultured bacterium. RNAcentral's name for it is "bacterial SSU rRNA". It matches the Rfam family "Bacterial small subunit ribosomal RNA", at positions 8 to 382 of the family's 1533-position model. The record is from RNAcentral.
AGAGUUUGAUCCUGGCUCAGGACGAACGCUGGCGGCGUGCCUAAUACAUGCAAGUCGAGCGAAGUUAAGGGAGCUUGCUCCCAAGACUUAGCGGCGGACGGGUGAGUAACACGUGGGUAACCUGCCUGUAAGACCGGGAUAACUCCGGGAAACCGGAGCUAAUACUGGAUAAUCAACAUAGUUGCAUAACUAAGUUGUAAAAGAUGGCGCAAGCUAUCACUUACAGAUGGGCCCGCGGCGCAUUAGCUAGUUGGUAGGGUAAAGGCCUACCAAGGCGACGAUGCGUAGCCGACCUGAGAGGGUGAUCGGCCACACUGGGACUGAGACACGGCCCAGACUCCUACGGGAGGCAGCAGUAGGGAAUCUUCCGCAAUGGACGAAAGU